Molecule: ribosomal RNA, 1336 nt
Filed under: Aeromicrobium sp.
Lineage: Bacteria; Bacillati; Actinomycetota; Actinomycetes; Propionibacteriales; Nocardioidaceae
Description: bacterial SSU rRNA
Rfam family: Bacterial small subunit ribosomal RNA
Source: RNAcentral
UGAGUUUGAUCCUGGCUCAGGACGAACGCUGGCGGCGUGCUUAACACAUGCAAGUCGAGCGGUAAGGCCCUUCGGGGUACACGAGCGGCGAACGGGUGAGUAACACGUGAGUAAUCUGCCCUUCACUCUGGGAUAACCGCUGGAAACGGUGGCUAAUACCGGAUAUGACCUCCUUCCGCAUGGUGGGUGGUGGAAAGUUUUUCGGUGGAGGAUGAGCUCGCGGCCUAUCAGCUUGUUGGUGGGGUGAUGGCCUACCAAGGCGACGACGGGUAGCCGGCCUGAGAGGGUGACCGGCCACACUGGGACUGAGACACGGCCCAGACUCCUACGGGAGGCAGCAGUGGGGAAUAUUGGACAAUGGGCGAAAGCCUGAUCCAGCAACGCCGCGUGAGGGAUGACGGCCUUCGGGUUGUAAACCUCUUUCAGUAGGGACGAAGCGAAAGUGACGGUACCUACAGAAGAAAGGACCGGCCAACUACGUGCCAGCAGCCGCGGUAAUACGUAGGGUCCGAGCGUUGUCCGGAAUUAUUGGGCGUAAAGGGCUCGUAGGCGGUUUGUCGCGUCGGGAGUGAAAACUUGGGGCUUAACCCCAUUCGUGCUUCCGAUACGGGCAGACUAGAGGCAGGCAGGGGAGAACGGAAUUCCUGGUGUAGCGGUGGAAUGCGCAGAUAUCAGGAGGAACACCGGUGGCGAAGGCGGUUCUCUGGGCCUGUUCUGACGCUGAGGAGCGAAAGCAUGGGGAGCGAACAGGAUUAGAUACCCUGGUAGUCCAUGCCGUAAACGUUGGGCGCUAGGUGUGGGAUCCAUUCCACGGGUUCCGUGCCGCAGCUAACGCAUUAAGCGCCCCGCCUGGGGAGUACGGCCGCAAGGCUAAAACUCAAAGGAAUUGACGGGGGCCCGCACAAGCGGCGGAGCAUGCUGAUUAAUUCGAUGCAACGCGAAGAACCUUACCUGGGUUUGACAUACACCAGAAGCCUGCAGAGAUGUGGGUCUCUUUGGACACUGGUGUACAGGUGGUGCAUGGCUGUCGUCAGCUCGUGUCGUGAGAUGUUGGGUUAAGUCCCGCAACGAGCGCAACCCUUGUCCUAUGUUGCCAGCACGUAAUGGUGGGGACUCAUAGGAGACUGCCGGGGUCAACUCGGAGGAAGGUGGGGAUGACGUCAAGUCAUCAUGCCCCUUAUGUCCAGGGCUUCAAGCAUGCUACAAUGGCCGGUACAAAGGGCUGCGAAGCCGUAAGGUGGAGCGAAUCCCAAAAAGCCGGUCUCAGUUCGGAUUGGGGUCUGCAACUCGACCCCAUGAAGUCGGAAAAAGAAUAGUAAUCGCAGAUCAGGCAACG